AGAGUUUGAUCAUGGCUCAGAACGAACGCUGGCGGCGUGGAUAAGACAUGCAAGUCGAGCGAUUAUUUCAGGGUAGCAAUAUUCUGGAGUGAGAGCGGCGCAAGGGUGCGUAACACGUGGGUAAUCUGCCGAGAAGUCUGGGACAACUUGCUGAAAGGCGAGCUAAUACCGGAUGUGGCUGGAGGGAGGCAUCUCUCUUUAGCUAAAGCUGGGGACCGUAAGGCCUGGCGCUUUUUGAUGAACCCGCGGCCUAUCAGCUAGUUGGUGAGGUAACGGCUCACCAAGGCUAAGACGGGUAGCUGGUCUGAGAGGACGACCAGCCACACUGGAACUGAGACACGGUCCAGACACCUACGGGUGGCAGCAGUCGAGAAUUUUUCACAAUGGGCGCAAGCCUGAUGGAGCGACGCCGCGUGGGGGAUGAAUGGCUUCGGCCCGUAAACCCCUGUCAUUUGCGAUCAAACCUCGUUAUUUAAAAGAUGACGAGCUGAUAGUAGCGAAAGAGGAAGGGACGGCUAACUCUGUGCCAGCAGCCGCGGUAAUACAGAGGUCCCGAGCGUUGUUCGGAUUCACUGGGCGUAAAGGGUGCGUAGGUGGCGAGGUAAGUCGGAUGUGAAAUCUCGGAGCUCAACUCCGAAACUGCAUUGGAAACUACCUGGCUAGAGGUUUGGAGGGGGGACUGGAAUGCUUGGUGUAGCAGUGAAAUGCGUAGAUAUCAAGCGGAACACCAGUGGCGAAGGCGAGUCCCUGGACAACACCUGACACUGAGGCACGAAAGCUAGGGGAGCAAACAGGAUUAGAUACCCUAGUAGUCC
Molecule: ribosomal RNA, 815 nt
Filed under: uncultured bacterium
Lineage: Bacteria
Description: bacterial SSU rRNA
Rfam family: Bacterial small subunit ribosomal RNA
Source: RNAcentral